AUCCACUUGACGAGUCCCAAAGAGGACGAAACUCGUGUCCUGGAU
Molecule: non-coding RNA, 45 nt
Filed under: Schistosoma mansoni
Lineage: Eukaryota; Metazoa; Platyhelminthes; Trematoda; Strigeidida; Schistosomatidae
Source: RNAcentral